This 496-nucleotide ribosomal RNA is filed under the name uncultured bacterium. RNAcentral's name for it is "partial 16S ribosomal RNA". It matches the Rfam family "Bacterial small subunit ribosomal RNA", at positions 28 to 507 of the family's 1533-position model. The record is from RNAcentral.
GAUGAACGCUGGCGGCGUGCCUAAUACAUGCAAGUCGAACGCUGAAGGAGGAGCUUGCUCUUUCCGGAUGAGGUGCGAACGGGUGAGUAACGCGUAGGUAACCUGCCUGGUAGCGGGGGAUAACUAUGGGAAACGAUAGCUAAUACGGCAUAACAGUAGAUAUUGCAUGAUAGUUGCUGGAAAGGGGCAAUUGCUCCACUACCAGAUGGACCUGCGUUGUAUUAGCUAGUUGGUGAGGUAACGGCGCACCAAGGCGACGUUACAUAGGCGACCUGCGAGGGUGAUCGGCCACCCUGGGACUGAGACACGGCCCAGACGCCUACGGGAGGCAGCAGUAGGGAAUCUUCGGCAAUGGACGGAAGUCUGACCGAGCAACGCCGCGUGAGUGAAGAAGGUUUUCGGAUCGUAAAGCUCUGUUGUAAGAGAAGAACGAGUGUGAGAGUGGAACGUUCACACUGUGACGGUAUCUUACCAGAAAGGGACGGCUAACUACGUG